AAUUCGUAGAUAUUAGAAAGAAUACCAAUUGCGAAGGCAGCUUUCUGGAUCAUUACUGACACUGAGGAACGAAAGCAUGGGUAGCGAAGAGGAUUAGAUACCCUCGUAGUCCAUGCCGUAAACGAUGUGUGUUAGACGUUGGAAAUUUAUUUUCAGUGUCGCAGGGAAACCGAUAAACACACCGCCUGGGGAGUACGACCGCAAGGUUAAAACUCAAAUGAAUUGACGGGGACCCGCACAAGUAGUGGAGCAUGUGGUUUAAUUCGAAGAUACGCGCAGAACCUUACCAACACUUGACAUGUUCGUCGCGACUCUAAGAGAUUAGAGUUUUCGGUUCGGCCGGACGAAACACAGGUGCUGCAUGGCUGUCGUCAGCUCGUGUCGUGAGAUGUUGGGUUAAGUCCCGCAACGAGCGCAACCCUCACUUUUAGUUGCCAUCAUUAAGUUGGGCACUCUGAAAGAACUGCCAGUGAUAAGCUGGAGGAAGGUGGGGAUGACGUCAAGUCCUCAUGGCCCUUAUGUGUUGGGCUACACACGUGCUACAAUGGCAUCUACAACAGGAAGCAAAACGGCAACGUUAAGCAAAUCCCGAAAAGAUGCCUCAGUUCGGAUUGCACUCUGCAACUCGAGUGCAUGAAGCUGGAAUUACUAGUAAUCGUGGAUCAGCGUGCCACGGUGAAUGCGUUCCCGGGUCUUGUACACACCGCCCGUCACACCAUGGGAGUUGGUUCUACCUUAAGGCAAGGUUUCAAACCCUUGACCACGGUAUAGUCAGCGACUGGGGUGAAGUCGUAACAAGGUAGCCGUAGGGGAACCUGCGGCUG
This 824-nucleotide ribosomal RNA is filed under the name metagenome. RNAcentral describes it as "bacterial SSU rRNA". It matches the Rfam family "Bacterial small subunit ribosomal RNA", at positions 685 to 1520 of the family's 1533-position model. The record is from RNAcentral.